GUAAAUUUAAGGCGUACAGGAGUUGACUGGAUACAUGUAUAUAUUGCAGAAUGGUGACCGCUAUAGAUCAGCUGGCACCUCCACGCAUAACAUAGUUACCAUUUCUUUUGUGGUGAGAACCCUGAAGGUCUACCUGCCAGUAUAUAAUACAGCGCCGUUAACUAGAGUCGCAAUGCUAUCCGGUAGGUCCCCAAGACAGAUUUGUCGUCGUCACUUUGUUUCUCCCCUGAAGGCAGAGGCCCCGUACGCUAGGUGAUGCUCCCGACCUUUUGAGAAAAGGCUGAGAGCGGCCGGUAAGGUGCUGGAGGGGUUAUUUCUGCACUGGAGGGUACAGAACGAGGGUUUUCUUUGACAGAUCGGGGCCUGGGGCAGGUCUUGGGAUAAGCCAACCGCCACUUUGACACGAGUCUCCAGCCCAGGGACUCCAUGUGUCCAUGAAGCAAUGAAGGAAGAGGACAGAGAAAGCAGGCUAGGAGAAGGUAAAAGGGGAAAGCAACCGAGGGUCCAUCCACGGAGGCGCGGAUAGGAAGAAUGUGGCCCGUUCGUACACUGGAAGAUUCUUCAGCCUUAAAAAGGAAGGCUGUCCUGACCCCAGCUACAACAGGGACGAACCUGGAGGACGUGACGCUGAGUGAGGCUCAGCGUAACACCUGACGGAAGGAAGAAGCCCAAGAACGAUUUGUUAAAAGAAACAACGGAUGAGAGAAUAAAUCGGGAACUGAAAUGUGAAUAGGAACAGACGUAGCAUGAUUGCAGCCAAGGAAAUAUGGAAGCAUGUUACACAGCCAAGUCAAGGAAGUCAAGGCCACUACAGUUCAGCUGACGGGGGAAUCUUUUUCAGAUGGACCAUGAGCAGGAAGUGAGACUUUCUUUCAGCCCCAGGGAGAGGACUCAGAUAGAGGCUCCCCCAAAAGACCCCUCCUCCAGGAAGCCUGCCUGGAACGUUUUCCCUUUUCAGCCUGACUGAACUCAUCCAGUGCCUUGGACACUUAAACAUACUGGCUGUCUCAGGUGCACUCGAGGGUCAGCGUACCCCUGCCGUGGAGGAGUCUGGCAGACCUAGCCUCAGACAGGAGAGAACAACGAAACAGCCAUUUCCUUCCUCGUUGGGGUCCUGUGAGCUGUGGUCGCCAGCAGGGAGGAGAAACAACCACCGUCACCCUCACCGAAUCACCAUCCCCGAGAAUAACCUGUUCCUGCCUUCACCCCCUUUGCCCUCACAGUCAAACAAAAACUGCCGAUAACCUCAAUCAUGGCACCCACCGUCAACGUCACACAGAACAGGGAACGGGUCCCGCCGCCAAGUUCCCUACUGUCGCCACCGCCACGGCCACCGCCGCUGCCACGCUCACAGCACUGGCCGUCCACGGCCACACACAACCAACUUCCACUAAGGCCGCCGUUCCCACACCACCAUUGCCAGGGCGGUCGUCAAAAAUCAGCAACGGACGGCCAACAGCCAAAAGGGCUGCCAUCACCGCCCCACUCGGGGCAAGAGCGGCCACUGACUACCAUCAUUCCACGGAUCAGCCCUGAAGACGACCAGCCACCAACCACAGAUCAACACCGGCUGGCAGGCGGCAACCAUCGCCCCUGCCGACACGCGCCCACGGGACUCACAGUUACUGCCAACUUGCGAUGACCGUGGGCGAUGACCACCAUCACCCCCCGCCCCCCCGGACACCCACCACCCAUCAUUCAACAGCAACCGAGAGUCGCCUCCCCCGGCUGCCAUCACUAACGACAGCACUGAAUGGGCAUCGCCCACGGGGACUGCAUCGAGGGCACAGCGCGUGGCUUGGGGAAGGACUUGAAGAACACUGCUCCGUUGACUCCUUCCACACUCUUCCUGGCACUCAUCGCCCCCGCCAGGAAGCAGUCGGCACUCCUGGGUGGAAGUUUUGGCCUCGUGGAUGGGGUCUGCCCUCUGUUUUCCCCUCCGUGGUCCUCUUGGGUUGAGCUUCUCCCUUCCCGCAACCCACCAGGAGAGCAAACCAUUGACUAAGCAUUUUGUACAGCUUCCUUGCGAGGGGGUGGAUUUCUUUCAAGUAGCAAAUCAUUUCCUGUGUUCUUUUGAUCUCCGUCUCCCCAUCCGAGCGCCCGAGCCUUCCUGGCUUGGCUCCUUCUUCGAGGAAUUCCCAUCCCAAGCCCGGUGCCACUUUGGUGGGUGAGCUCCCCAGAGGGGUCCUCGGCCAGUGACCCCCGGUUCGUCACGGGCUUUCUGAAACGAGGAGGGGCUCUCUCCCAGACGGACGCAGUCCCUGCCGUCUGUCUGGUCCACCACCCUGCCUCCUCCACCUUGGUCAGGUGCCUGCUGCGGCUGGCUGGGUGACUGUCCCAGCCACAUGCUGUCGUUGACAGAGUGACAAAAAAUGAAAGUCGAAGUGGUUUGCAGAUGUGUGGAGCGGAGGGGGCACAUUUUGGAGCCAGCCUGGGCUCUCUCUUUAUGUGUGUGUUAGGAGGCUGCUGGGUCUAGACCCACGAUAGUGACGGUCUCCUGAACCCUGUCACCGCAGUCAUCGCCAGACCUCAGCCUCACCAGGUGGUGACGCGGCUGGCAGCAGGGUGUCCCCUGCCAUACUUGCUUGGAAGGCUUCCGGGAGUGGUGUGGCCCUGCCGGGCCUCACCGCCUCCUGUUUCUGUGAUCGCUACAGCCAGACAUGCAGGCACACUGCCACGACACCAUCACUGCCCCCCAUUGCCCACUGGACACAGCUUCUGGCCGCAGCUGUGGACUCAGAGUGGCCGAGCCCGCAGACCCUCUGAAGUUCGGAGAGUUUCCCAGAACACCUUCCCUAUCACCACUGACUUCCAAAUAUGACAUGUGUGGGAACUGAGGCCCAGAGAGGGGAAGUGGCUUGCCCAAGGCCACACAGGAAGAUGAGGGACCAAGAUGAGCUGGAAACUGGCUCUCUAAGCCCUGACAAAGGGGACAUGGCAGUUCGGAGAGGUCGGCGCCUCCCGGCCAGGAGGAGGAGGAGGUCGAGGCCGAGGCAGGCGACCCUGGCUGGGAGCCUGCGCUCCGGGCGGUAACACAGCAUCGUGCUUCGAGGCCGGCAAGCCGCAGCGUCCCCUAGUGGCCACACCUGGGGAGGAGCGAGUUUCUCCCGGAAUCGCCCGCACAGGCGGGGGGCGCUGGGUAAUCUCAGCGGUGCCUCCGGGCACCUGCGGAGAAGCGGGCAGGUGGACCUUCUCCUUGCCGGAGGCUUCAGAGGGGGGGUCUGCAAGGAGGUGACGCUUGGGCCGACGCCGAAGGAACCUUUAGGAUGCAGAGCGCUGUAGUGCGCCGGGAAGGGUGCAGUACUCAGCGCUGCCACAGGAGGGCCUGCCGGAAUCCGGACGCUGUGCGGGGGACUGGGGACAUCGGAAAUGAGGCUGUGACACGAUGCUGGAGCGCUUGCUUUGAGGCCUGUUUUAAGUUCACACCAGCCCAGUGAGAGCACACGGCCAGCGACUUUCCUCCAGCCCGGCACUUUGUGACAUAGACUUCAAAUGCGGCGCCUUUCUUGUCCUGCCCCACCCCGACGCGUCCAGAACAAGCUGUCUCUUAGCAUUGGGGAUCAUCUCCCAUUCCCCGGGGGAAGUUAUGCCCAGAUGGAACGGCACCCCGCCUUCUCCAGGGCGGCCCAGGUCUGGCAGAGGGGGCCCGAGUGUCAACUGGGAGUCAGGAAGCCGCUGGGGAGAGCCAGACCCUGCGAAUACUGGGAUGCGUCAACGGGACUGUGGAUCUGAAGAACAGAAUGCUGAUGAUCCCCAGGAGGGUCUGAAGGUUAACGGGGGAUUGGAGAGAUGAAGCCGGGAGCCUCCCGCCUCCUGCUGUGUGUCCCUGGCAAGUUGCUUGGCCUCUCUGAGCCUUGUUUCGUGCAUCUGUUGAGUGUGAAUGCAAAUACUGGUGCUCAAUAGGUGCUUAGCUCCCGGCUGUUGGACGAGAGGCUGGGAGAGGUGUUGCAGGUGGAGUCUCGGCGGGCAGGGGAACCGCUCAAGACCAAUUCUGUUGCUCUCUUCUUGGCCAGGACAUGUAGCACGCAGUAGGUGCCUCAUAAAACCUUGCCGACCUGUUUGGGUCCAAGACUCCUGAAUCUAAGGCUUCCUUUCCCUUUUCUUUAAACAAAAAUUUUUUUUUUUUAAUGUUUAUUUUUGAGACAGAGAGAGACAGAGCAUGA
This is a long non-coding RNA of Leopardus geoffroyi (Geoffroy's cat), 4163 nucleotides long. RefSeq lists it as uncharacterized. The transcript is spliced from 11 exons. The record is from RefSeq and is a predicted model, not a curated record. Lineage: Eukaryota; Metazoa; Chordata; Mammalia; Carnivora; Felidae.